Molecule: long non-coding RNA, 2974 nt
Organism: Esox lucius (northern pike)
Lineage: Eukaryota; Metazoa; Chordata; Actinopteri; Esociformes; Esocidae
Source: Ensembl
GUCAGGAGUGUCAUUAUCAAGGUGGUGUUAUGAAGGGGAGAGGUGUCAUUAUCAGGGUGGUGUUAUAAAGAAAAAGACAAGUGUCAUUAUCAAGUUAGUGUGAUAACGAAGUGGAGAGAUGUUUCAUUUAUCAAGGUGGUGUUAAAAAUAAGGGGAGAGUUGUCAUUAUCUAGGUGGUGUUAUGAAGGAGAGAAGUUUCAUUAUCUAGGUGGUGUUAUGAAGGAGAGUGGUUUAAUUAUCUAGGUGGUGUUAUUAAGGAGAGUGGUUUCAUUAUCUAGGUGGUGUUAUGAAGUAGAGAGUCAGGUGUGUCAUUAUCUAGGUGGUGUUAUGAAAGAGAGGGGAGAGGUAUGUCAUUAUCAAGGUGCUGUUAUGAAGGAGAGAGAAGUUUCAUUAUCUAGGUGGUGUUGUAAAGAGGGAGAGAGGUGUGUCAUUAUCUAGGGGGUGUUAUAAAGGGGAGAGGUGUGUCAUUACCUAGGUGUUAUUAUUAAGGGGAGAGGUGUGUCAUUAUCUAGAUGGUGUUAUAAUGAAGGGGAGAUGUGUGUCAUUACCUAGGUGGUGUUAUUAAGGGGAAUGGUGUGUCAUUACCUAGGUGGUGUUAUUAAGGGGAGAGGUGUGUCAUUAUCUAGAUGGUGUUAUAAUGAAGGGGAGAUGUGUGUCAUUACCUAGGUGGUGUUAUUAAGGGGAAUGGUGUGUCAUUACCUAGGUGGUGUUAUUAAGGGGAGAGGUGUGUCAUUACCUAGGUGUUAUUAUUAAGGGGAGAGGCAUGUCAUUACCUAGGUGUUAUUAUUAAGGGGAGAGGUGUGUCAUUACCUAGGUGGUGUUAUUAAGGGGAGAGGUGUGUCAUUACCUAGGUGGUGUUAUUAAGGGGAGAGGUGUGUCAUUACCUAGGUGUUAUUAUUAAGGGGUGAGGCAUGUCAUUACCUAGGUGUUAUUAUUAAGGGGAGAGGUGUGUCAUUACCUAGGUGUUAUUAUUAAGGGGAGAGGUGUGUCAUUACCUAGGUGGUGUUAUUAAGGGGAGAGGUGUGUCAUUACCUAGGUGUUAUUAUUAAGGGGUGAGGCAUGUCAUUACCUAGGUGUUAUUAUUAAGGGGAGAGGUGUGUCAUUACCUAGGUGUUAUUAUUAAGGGGAGAGGUGUGUCAUUACCUAGGUGGUGUUAUUAAGGGGAGAGGUGUGUCAUUACCUAGGUGUUAUUAUUAAGGGGAGAGGUGUGUCAUUAUCUAGGUGUUGAUAUUAAGGGGAGAGGUGUGUCAUUAUUUAGGUGGUGUUAUAAUGAAGGGGAGAGGUGUGUCAUUACCUAGGUGUUAUUAUUAAGGGGAGAGGUGUGUCAUUACCUAGGUGGUGUUAUUAAGGGGAGAGGUGUGUCAUUAUCUAGGUGGUGUUAUGAAGGGGUGCGGUGUGUCAUUAUCUAGGUGGUGUUAUGAAUGGGAGAGGUGUCAUUAUCUAGGUGAUGUUAUGAAGGGGAGAGGUGUGUCAUUAUCUAGGUGGUGUUAUGAAGGGGAGAGGUGUGUCAUUAUCUAGGUGGUGUUAUGAAGGGGAGAUGUGUGUCAUUAUCUAGGUGGUGUUAUGAAGGGGAGAGGUGUGUCAUUAUCUAGGUGGUGUUAUGAAGGGGAGAUGUGUGUCAUUAUCUAGGUGGUGUUAAAAUUGGGAGAGGUGUGUCAUUACCUAGGUGGUGUUAUGAAGGGGAGAGGUGUGUCAUUAUCUAGGUGGUGUUAUGAAUGGGAGAGGUGUGUCAUUAUCUAGGUGGUGUUAUGAAGGGGAGAGGUGUGUCAUUAUCUAGGUGGUGUUAUGAAGGGAAGAGGUGUGUCAUUAUCUAGCUGGUGUUAUAAUGAAGGGCUGUUAAGGGACAGUCCAAGUCUAGUCAUAGUUCAUGCACAACUUCUGACCAGAGCCCUGUAUAGUGUUGCAGUAGAUCAGUGUUUCUCAACCCUGCUCCUGGGCGCCCCCCUGCCCUGCAUGUUUUAGAUCUCUCCCUGCUCUGUCACACCUGAUUCAAAUGAUCAGUUCACUAUCAAGUCCUUCAAGAGCUACAUCAGGUAUGGGAGAGCAGGGAGAGAUCUAAAACAUGCAGGGCAGGUGGGCGUCCAGGAGCAGGGUUGAGAAACACUGCACUAGAUUACUUGUUAUUUGGGACUCUGAGAGUAGUUACGUGAUUCUGCAAUCACUCUCCAAAACCACACUAUCACUCUCCAAAAUCACAAUAACACUCUCCAAAACCACACUAUCACUCCAAAACCACAGUAUCGUUGUUCAAAACCACACUAUCGCUGUUCAAAACCACACUAUCACUUCAAAACUACACUAUCACUUCAAAACCCCACUAUCACUCUUCAAAACCACACUAUCACUCUUCAAUACCAUACUAUCACUCUCCAAAAUCACACUAACACUUUGCAAAACCACACUAUCACUCCAAAACCACACUAUCACUCUUCAAAACCACACUAUCCCUCUCCAAAACCACACUUUCACUACUAAUCAGAUACAGGAUAACAUCAGCAGAUGUUUGAAGAGUUGAGAGAAAGGCAGUAGGGCUGUAAAAGGGAGAAGAUAUGUUAGAGGGAAAGUAGUGGUGAAGAGAGUAGAGGUGUCAACUCCAGUUAGACCAUACAGACAUCUAAACGCUGCCUACUAAGUCUCCCACUCUAACCUGUUCUCACACAGCUAACUGCAUCACCCAGGCUGGCAGCUACUCUGAUAGCAGCUGUGUUAUCUAGUUAUGGCAGUGAUCCUGUGUCUCUCCAUAGCAUUCCCCUCAGCUUUGACAUACACACUAUUAUUCAAAGUUGUGUAAGUAAACAACUCUGUACUUAUUGUGCGUUGCUUCUGUGUCUCACUUACCCCCACCAAUGGUUCGGCCUGGAGGCAAAGGUCAGUCAUACUGGCUGGUGUGAGUGGACCGGUCUAUUGUUUAGGGUUUGUAUGGGGGACCGGUCAGACUAUCACAGGUGUGCUGGAAUAUUGUGACAUUUUGUUG